RNAcentral lists this small nuclear RNA (311 nucleotides) under Erinaceus europaeus (western European hedgehog). RNAcentral's name for it is "7SK RNA". It matches the Rfam family "7SK RNA". From Rfam's summary of the family: 7SK was discovered as an abundant small nuclear RNA in the mid-70s but a possible function has only recently been suggested. Two independent studies have found that 7SK RNA binds the CDK9/cyclin T complex (known as elongation factor P-TEFb). The record is from Rfam by way of RNAcentral. Lineage: Eukaryota; Metazoa; Chordata; Mammalia; Eulipotyphla; Erinaceidae.
GGAUGUGAGGGCGAUCUGGCUGCGACAUCUGUCAUCCCAUUGAUCGCCAGGGUUGAUUCAGCUGAUCUGGCUGGCUAGGCGGGUGUCCCCUUCCUUCCUCACCACUCCAUGUGUGUCCCUCCCGAAGCUGCGCUCGGUUGAAGAGGACGGCCUUCCCCGAAUAGAGACAGACCGGUCUUCGGUUGAGGGUAUACGAGUAGCUGCACUCCCCUGCUAGAACCUCCAAACAAUUAUACCCCUUACAAUUUUCUAAAUCAAUAUUAAGUCACUAGUAAAAAAUAAAACAGCAGCAACAACAAAAGAAAUUGUGU